AUGAUGGCCAGGCUGUCUCCACCCGAGACUCAGUGAAAUUGAACUCGCUGUGAAGAUGCAGUGUACCCGCGGCAAGACGGAAAGACCCCGUGAACCUUUACUAUAGCUUGACACUGAACAUUGAGCCUUGAUGUGUAGGAUAGGUGGGAGGCUUUGAAGCGUGGACGCCAGUCUGCGUGGAGCCAACCUUGAAAUACCACCCUUUAAUGUUUGAUGUUCUAACGUUGGCCCCUGACCGGGGUUGCGGACAGUGUCUGGU
RNAcentral lists this ribosomal RNA (259 nucleotides) under Klebsiella pneumoniae. Its description in RNAcentral is "partial 23S ribosomal RNA". It matches the Rfam family "Bacterial large subunit ribosomal RNA", at positions 2004 to 2262 of the family's 2925-position model. Lineage: Bacteria; Pseudomonadati; Pseudomonadota; Gammaproteobacteria; Enterobacterales; Enterobacteriaceae. The record is from RNAcentral.